Long non-coding RNA from Mytilus trossulus (common blue mussel), 925 nucleotides. RefSeq lists it as uncharacterized. NCBI's taxonomy places the organism in Eukaryota, Metazoa, Mollusca, Bivalvia, Mytilida, Mytilidae. The transcript is spliced from 3 exons. The record is from RefSeq and is a predicted model, not a curated record.
UGGCGACGAAGGAUGAAAGAGGAUUUGGAAAACGAAUAAACAGAUAUUUUGCCUCAUCACAAAGUUUAAGGGCUAAAUUGUGAGCAAAGUCAAAGUUUGCAUGUAUUUUGAAGCACAGAGAUUGUAUAGUCAUGCUUCCUACGGGCAACGGAAAGAGUUUUUAAGUAAAUUUUCUUACUUAAUUUAACAUUUUAAAAGUCACUUGAAACUGGAGAUACACCUAUAAUUUUCAGGAGUGGAAACAUGCUAAUGUAGCCCCAGACUUCAAAAUGGUGGAAAAAUACAAACCUGUAAACUACAGGCCAAUAUCUUUAACCUGCAUACGUUGCAAGCUCAUGGAGCAUCCCAGACAAAGGUUAGUGUCUGAUCAAACAGUAGUUUGGACUCCAGUCUGAAAAACCCUAGAUUCUGACAAUGUUUCUUUCAAUUUGUGACUGGGCCAAACAAAUAACACGGUGGAGGGAACUCUUAAAACACACAGACAGUGACACAGAAAAAGCCACUACAAGCAUCUGAAGAUGAAUCUGAGAAUGGCACUACAGAUAUAGGUUGUGAACCAGCUCUAGAGUUUCAACAUACAGAUCUUAGCCUAUGGUACAUGUAUUCAUUCUCGUCCCUGGUGACACUUGCUGACGGAAGGAAAAUCAUAUUUCUUACAUUUACAUGUUUUGUUCAUGCCUGUUCCUUUGCAUUUGCACCCAUGCUUGUUUUGCAGCAGCAUGCAAUGAAAUUCCUUUUGUUUUACAAAUUACAUUUUCAAUUUUGUAUGUCAAAAGUUCUAUUGCACUCAUAACCUAACAAUAUGCCAAAUAAUAGUUUGUAUAAAAUUGCAUCCUUAAUAAUAAUAUCAGCAACCCUACAUCCAGAGUUACUCUUCUCACAAUAACAAAUAUAAAAAAGAAGAUGUGGUAUGAUUGCCAAUGAG